Trichosurus vulpecula (common brushtail) is the source of this 455-nucleotide long non-coding RNA. RefSeq lists it as uncharacterized. The transcript has 4 exons. The record is from RefSeq and is a predicted model, not a curated record. Lineage: Eukaryota; Metazoa; Chordata; Mammalia; Diprotodontia; Phalangeridae.
CAAGUACUCCAUUAGCUCUCAUCAGCUACAAAAGGACAUUCGUCAAGCCCUACAACUGAACUCCUCAAUUUUAUCAGACACUUGAAACCACUGCCAAGAAACGCAGAGAAAGCAUGACAGUUCUUUCCAGCCAGGCAUACUGAAACCCAGGAGGGAUUUCAUAGCACCUUUGCACGCCAUUGUGACAAGUGGUGUCAGGAGAAGAGAAUAAACUAUGACAAUUUCUACAUGAGAAAGAACCCAGGAUGAUCACAGAAUAGACUCCCCAUCACUAUCAGGACAAAAAAGCUAAAUGAAGAUUAGAACACAAGCCUGUAGCGGCCCAUCUAUUACAGCAAGCUUUCAACAUAGAGUCCUUGGACUACGUGACUGCCAAGUUCCAUUCCAGCUUCAAACUCCAUCAAUUCUGUUUAAUAUUGACAUUAAUUGAAUUAGAGGGUUUUUUUUAAGUCACC